RNAcentral lists this ribosomal RNA (164 nucleotides) under uncultured bacterium. Its description in RNAcentral is "partial 16S ribosomal RNA". It matches the Rfam family "Bacterial small subunit ribosomal RNA", at positions 355 to 511 of the family's 1533-position model. The record is from RNAcentral.
UAGGGAAUCUUCCACAAUGGACGAAAGUCUGAUGGAGCAACGCCGCGUGAGUGAAGAAGGGUUUCGGCUCGUAAAACUCUGUUGUUAAAGAAGAACAUAUCUGAGAAUAACUGUUCAGGUAUUGACGGUAUUUAACCAGAAAGCCACGGCUAACUACGUGUCAG